GAUGAACGCUGGCGGCGUGCCUAAUACAUGCAAGUCGAGCGAACGGACGAGAAGCUUGCUUCUCUGAUGUUAGCGGCGGACGGGUGAGUAACACGUGGAUAACCUACCUAUAAGACUGGGAUAACUUCGGGAAACCGGAGCUAAUACCGGAUAAUAUUUUGAACCGCAUGGUUCAAAAGUGAAAGACGGUCUUGCUGUCACUUAUAGAUGGAUCCGCGCUGCAUUAGCUAGUUGGUAAGGUAACGGCUUACCAAGGCAACGAUGCAUAGCCGACCUGAGAGGGUGAUCGGCCACACUGGAACUGAGACACGGUCCAGACUCCUACGGGAGGCAGCAGUAGGGAAUCUUCCGCAAUGGGCGAAAGCCUGACGGAGCAACGCCGCGUGAGUGAUGAAGGUCUGCGGAUCGUAAAACUCUGUUAUUAGGGAAGAACAUAUGUGUAAGUAACUGUGCACAUCUUGACGGUACCUAAGCAGAAAGCCACGGCUAACUACGU
Molecule: ribosomal RNA, 496 nt
Filed under: uncultured bacterium
Lineage: Bacteria
Description: partial 16S ribosomal RNA
Rfam family: Bacterial small subunit ribosomal RNA
Source: RNAcentral